AGUGAACGCUGGCGGUAGGCCUAACACAUGCAAGUCGAACGGCAGCACAGUAAGAGCUUGCUCUUACGGGUGGCGAGUGGCGGACGGGUGAGGAAUACAUCGGAAUCUACUUUUUCGUGGGGGAUAACGUAGGGAAACUUACGCUAAUACCGCAUACGACCUACGGGUGAAAGCAGGGGAUCUUCGGACCUUGCGCGAUUGAAUGAGCCGAUGUCGGAUUAGCUAGUUGGGGGGGUAAAGGCCCACCAAGGCGACGAUCCGUAGCUGGUCUGAGAGGGUGGUCAGCCACACUGGGACUGAGACACGGUCCAGACUCCUACGGGAGGCAGCAGUGGGGAAUAUUGGACAAUGGGCGCAAGCCUGAUCCAGCCAUACCGCGUGGGUGAAGAAGGCCUUCGGGUUGUAAAGCCCUUUUGUUGGGAAAGAAAAGCAGCAGGUUAAUACCCCGCUGUCCUGACGGUACCCAAAGAAUAAGCACCGGCUAACUUCGU
This 491-nucleotide ribosomal RNA is filed under the name uncultured bacterium. RNAcentral describes it as "partial 16S ribosomal RNA". It matches the Rfam family "Bacterial small subunit ribosomal RNA", at positions 29 to 506 of the family's 1533-position model. The record is from RNAcentral.